Molecule: non-coding RNA, 72 nt
Organism: Bubalus bubalis (water buffalo)
Lineage: Eukaryota; Metazoa; Chordata; Mammalia; Artiodactyla; Bovidae
Source: the annotation of a RefSeq genome assembly
UCCCUGGUGGCUCAGAUGGUAAAGCAUCUGCCUGCAAUGCAGGAGACCCGGGUUCAAUCCCCGGGUAUGGAA